Molecule: ribosomal RNA, 465 nt
Filed under: uncultured bacterium
Lineage: Bacteria
Description: partial 16S ribosomal RNA
Rfam family: Bacterial small subunit ribosomal RNA
Source: RNAcentral
CCUACGGGAGGCAGCAGUGGGGAAUUUUGGACAAUGGGCGCAAGCCUGAUCCAGCUAUUCCGCGUGUGGGAUGACGGCCUUCGGGUUGUAAGCCACUUUUGUAGAGAACGAAAAGUCUGUUGAUAAUACCGAUAGAUGAUGACGGUACUCUAAGAAUAAGCACCGGCUAACUACGUGCCAGCAGCCGCGGUAAUACGUAGGGUGCGAGCGUUAAUCGGAAUUACUGGGCGUAAAGGGUGUGCAGGUGGUUUUGCAAGAUGGAUGUGAAAGCCCCGGGCUUAACCUGGGAAAGCCAUACAUGACUGCAAGACUAGAGUGCGUCAGAGGGGGGUGGAAUUCCAAGUGUAGCAGUGAAAUGCGUAGAUAUUUGGAAGAACACCGAUGGCGAAGGCAGCCCCCUGGGACGCAACUGACGCUCAUACACGAAAGCGUGGGGAGCAAACAGGAUUAGAUACCCCGGUAGUC